Molecule: non-coding RNA, 193 nt
Filed under: Odoribacter splanchnicus CAG:14
Lineage: Bacteria; Pseudomonadati; Bacteroidota; Bacteroidia; Bacteroidales; Odoribacteraceae
Source: RNAcentral
GGGGCAGACCUGGAUUUGACAGCAUGAAGAAUAGGUAUGUAAGCAUGUCGGGAGCAGUGAAACGGCCCGUAAAUCCCGGACACAAAAUUUUAGUUGGCGAAAAUAAUUACGCUCUCGCUGCCUAAUCUUUAGAAGAUUGAAGGCUUAAUCCCUGUUCAAGGAACGGGGACGGGACAUCCCGCCGGUGGUUCCA